RNAcentral lists this ribosomal RNA (433 nucleotides) under uncultured bacterium. Its description in RNAcentral is "partial 16S ribosomal RNA". It matches the Rfam family "Bacterial small subunit ribosomal RNA", at positions 29 to 507 of the family's 1533-position model. The record is from RNAcentral.
AACGAACGCUGGCGGCAUGCCUAACACAUGCAAGUCGAACGAGACCUUCGGGUCUAGUGGCGCACGGGUGCGUAACGCGUGGGAACCUGCCCUUAGGUUUGGAAUAACUCCCCGAAUGGGGUGCUAAUACCGGAUCAUGUCUUCGGACCAAAGAUUUAUCGCGUUUGGAUGGGCCCGCGUUGGAUUAGCUAGUUGGUAGGCUAAAAGCCUACCAAGGCGUCGAUCGAUAGCUGGUUACAGAGGAAGGUCAGCGACACUGGGACUGAGACACGGCCCAGACUCUUACGGGAAGCAGGAGUGGGGAAUAUUGGACAGUGGGGGAAAGCCUGAUCCAGCAAUGACGCGUGAGUGAUGAAGGCCUGAGGGUUGUAAAGCUCUUUUACCCGGGAUGAUAAUGACAGUACCGGGAGAAUAAGCUCCGGCUAACUCCGUG